RNAcentral lists this ribosomal RNA (42 nucleotides) under uncultured Glomus. RNAcentral describes it as "partial 28S ribosomal RNA". The record is from RNAcentral. Lineage: Eukaryota; Fungi; Glomeromycota; Glomeromycetes; Glomerales; Glomeraceae.
CAAGAAUACCCGCUGAACUUAAGCAUAUCAUUAAGCGGAGGA